Molecule: long non-coding RNA, 949 nt
Organism: Erigeron canadensis
Lineage: Eukaryota; Viridiplantae; Streptophyta; Magnoliopsida; Asterales; Asteraceae
Exons: 6
Source: RefSeq, a predicted model, not a curated record
UCCAAGAAGAGAGAAAAGAAAAAUCGUUGAAACAAAUUUCACUAAGUUUUCCAUCAUCCAUCAAAAUCGAGCGAUACACCUUGUUUGUUUCACCAUGACACGCGUGAGGAGGACCCCUCAGAGUUUCGAACCUCACGAGAAAGAUGUCAGAUUUUUAUAUCACGGGAAAGUUUGCCGAGAUGAGUCUUACACCUUCCCAACGUGAAGUUGCACAAACUCGCAAUGUCCACAGAACACCAAAACGAUUCCUAUGCGAGAUUAAUCCCAGUUUUGCACACAGGAUUCUGGUGACUGGAGAAGUGCACCAAUGUUGCCGACUCUAAACCAAUCAAAAGACUCGUUGGACAUCUUAAGUAUCAUGAUAACGGGCUUCCAAUGCCUGUGUAUAAUAUACUUAAGCAAAUAGUUGAUGCCCUGGACCGUUUGAAGACACACCCAGAUGACGUGAAGGCUUUGGCCGCUUUGCAAGAUGGGGAGAAUGGUAUCAAAAUAGCUUCUAAAUACUUCAAGGGGGGCAAUCGUAUGCCAAGUGACUGGAAAUACGAGCGAGACAAUGCCCACAACCUUCUGCUGUAGAGAUCUUCUGUUGAAUCAGAGAGCAAGUUUCCUAGAACUAUGGAUAUCAGCAAGCGAGACAAUGCCCACAACCUUUUGAAUGUCUGCUACUGAACACUUGUGAUGUAUGAACUUUGUUUUUCUAUCAGUGUAUGUGCUACAAUUAACUUGAAUUCUUAGUGGCAUAUCAUGCCAUAGUAAUGCAUAUUCUAUCAAAUAGUAUAAAUUAUUGGCGAGUAGGUCAUAGAAAAAGUCAUCAGGUUGGCACCAGUCUGACUAUAUGUUUUUGAUUACAUGAUUACUAUGACGGAGUGGUGAACUUGAUUGAAGGUACUCUGUAGUCCAACAAAACUUGCGAAAAUUGUGACUUGGUAUUAAAAGUAUUUUAUCUGCU